Molecule: ribosomal RNA, 252 nt
Filed under: uncultured bacterium
Lineage: Bacteria
Description: partial 16S ribosomal RNA
Rfam family: Bacterial small subunit ribosomal RNA
Source: RNAcentral
UACGAGGGGGCUAGCGUUGCUCGGAAUCACUGGGCGUAAAGCGCACGUAGGCGGAUUGCUAAGUCAGGGGUGAAAUCCUGGAGCUCAACUCCAGAACUGCCUUUGAUACUGGCGAUCUUGAGUCCGGGAGAGGUGAGUGGAACUGCGAGUGUAGAGGUGAAAUUCGUAGAUAUUCGCAAGAACACCAGUGGCGAAGGCGGCUCACUGGCCCGGUACUGACGCUGAGGUGCGAAAGCGUGGGGAGCAAACAGG